Molecule: small RNA, 962 nt
Filed under: Histoplasma capsulatum var. duboisii H88
Lineage: Eukaryota; Fungi; Ascomycota; Eurotiomycetes; Onygenales; Ajellomycetaceae
Description: Histoplasma capsulatum H88 hypothetical RNA
Source: RNAcentral
UACCCUUUGAUACUUAGACUUUACCCCUUAAAAUCACUUGCCUUGCCUGCAUUGGUGAUGAGACGUGGAGUUUUGUGGUGAUGUUGGUGGUGGAGGGCCCCUUAACUCUCACUAUGAACUUAUAUCAUCUUCAGCAGCGAACUCAUUUGUGUAUAUAUAUAUACGCCAAGGCAUCUAAAGGGGGAGAUUUGUCAAAACGUUGGUAUUUCGGGUCGGCGCCCCCGGGAAGGAAAGGCAUGCUUUAUGAGCGACGCUGACUUUGGGGUUAUGGCAUAAUCCUCAGAACGAGGCGAAUGUCUUUCAACACGCUGAUUGUAUAUUGCGAUUGUAAGCUCUUCAGAGCAGAAUUUGACGAGCAGUGGUGGCCAAAACAUUAUCACUUUAUACAGAACGGAUAGGUAGGGGAUUGAAGUCGGCUUCGAUUACUGACCAAGAAGUAUUCAAAGCCAUCCAAGGUCAAGACUCUGAUCAGACUCUUCAUGUCUCAUGGCAGGCCAUUGACAAAUACUCUCAAGUGCCCAUGCUCAAUCUCGCAAAUACAGAGAAGUGUCUAGAUCUUCCUCUCCACCGAAGGAAGUCAAUGGCUAGGAAGAAAGGAUUAAAGAACCUGGGAGUCUUUCUUAAACUCAGCGGUAAUGAGAUUCUACUUGAGGAACUUUGAGAACACCUCAGCUGACCAGCAAAAAAGGGCACGCUUAGAAAGGGAAUGGAAAAAAUAUAGGAAGAGACCAUCAAGCUGCAAAGGAAGCUUGGUGAUUCAAGAGCAAUUUUGCAGGCUCUUCAAGCAAAAUCUCUCCUGACCAAGCCUAUUCUUCUUCUCUCUUAAGACAAUCCUGCCCACAUGUCAAAUCUGUGAGAAUCCACCUUGAUUAAGUCCUUAUGCAAUCCAGAACACCUCUGAAUAGCGAAUUUGAAGAAUCGUCGGGGAUAACCAACCUAGUAAAAGAACACACAAUCACGUC